AAGUUUCUUCUUCUUAAAAUCCAGGUACUCCUUGAAGCACAAUUUUCUAUUAGAAACCUAGUUUCUUCUAGAUUCAGUUAUGUAAUCGUCAUUUAUGAUUGUUGUCAAGUUCUGUUACUUGUAGAGUUGGCUAGGAUGCCCUUUGGAACCUGCAUGGAUUUUUUUUCUUACUCUAUUACUACAAAGCUCAGUAUAGACUACAGUAGUCAUAUGUCCUGCAUUAGCAUGUAGUUUCCUUGAUAAUUUUUCUAUCUUAGAUGAAAUUGAAUGUUCAAACUGGCAAUGAACUUCGGAAAUCUGAGAGAUGUUUUGGUGGAUUCAAUACAAACAUGUGAAAAUUUCUUAUAGUGUUAAAAGAUUUUGCCUUGCUAAUUGCAUUAAUUUGGAAAUAAAUUUGGGGUUACAAGAAAACUACAUUUGUUGGAUUGUUGGCCAGCAAACUAUAGAUAUUGUCAUUUCUGGAUGGAUAUGUGUCUCGGUAUUUCUGGGUGAACUUUUUUUUUUUU
Molecule: unclassified non-coding RNA, 506 nt
Filed under: Hevea brasiliensis (rubber tree)
Lineage: Eukaryota; Viridiplantae; Streptophyta; Magnoliopsida; Malpighiales; Euphorbiaceae
Source: RNAcentral